GAUGAUUUCUAUCUGACACAGAACAGAUUUCUGCAGCGUCUUUACACUCACCGAGAAAUCCUUUCUUGCAAAUCUGCCCAAAACCCUUCCUCUUCCAUGACACCUUUUUUUCACUCUUUUCUUUAGUAACAUUCCUACCAGAGCAUUCCCACUCUUUGGCUCAUCAAUCUGCAGUAACUCCAUCUCCCCCAUUCACUUCUCACUUUCACUAUUCUAUUGCAACUUCAGGAACUCAAGUUCACCAUACAUCUUGAUCAAGCAAAACCACCAAAACACAAUCACACCAAACAAAUCCAAAAUCAGGUUCGAGUAACCAAGGGCUUUAGAGCUACAAGAAGAACAAGCACUGAAUCUCCGCAUCGAGGUUAGGCGGCUGGUGCGCACGGUGCUGAGCUGGGGAGUGUUUCUUAUCCUGACGACUGGCUACUCCUUAGCUAAUCUAGUUGAAUUCCUGAAUAACUUCUAAAUCAAAUUAUGUUGAGCUCAGACUCAUUAUUUCUAUUCCGCUGCACUGUUGAAUGUUAAACUAUCAGGGUUGUGAAACUAAACCUCUUUAGAUCCUUGGGGAUUUUCUCCAUAUGAUGAACUCGUUCUAAGUCAUCAUUAACCAUCUUUA
Long non-coding RNA from Salvia miltiorrhiza (redroot sage), 616 nucleotides. RefSeq lists it as uncharacterized. Lineage: Eukaryota; Viridiplantae; Streptophyta; Magnoliopsida; Lamiales; Lamiaceae. The transcript has 4 exons. The record is from RefSeq and is a predicted model, not a curated record.